CCCGCGUAGACGUUUACACCCACCAUAUUAUCGGAGUCCUGCCUACCAAAACAUGGCGAAUGGAGAGGAUAGCGGCUGCUCUGAAGUGUCACAAAUUAAUGUCGCCCCUCCCGUCAUCAUUUUGACUCUCUCGGCAUGUCCUGAUACAGCCUGUGACUCAGCAGCUGCCUUAAAUGAAAACUACAACUCCCAGCAUGCUGGACUAUAUAAUAAGAAAAAAUUCUGGAAUCUCCAUUUCCAUCUCUAGAACAAAGUCCGGCACAAAUGGUUCUGCAGGUGAAUAGAUCUCCAGACCUUCCUGAGCUGUGGAUGGGGACAUCGAUAGAAAACACAGCCCCAACAAGAGAACCGUCACCUCUAUCAAUGGGUUGGUUGAUACCUCUCCUUCAAGAUGGAAAUCUAACCAGAGUGCGGCAGAAGAUGUUGGUUGUUCCCAGUCAGCUGUGUUCACAAAGCAAAUUAUAAAGACAAUAGAAAGGUUAUAAGGAGAACAUACAGGAGGAAGACGCGACAACUUCAGGGUAGAGAACUCCAAGCACCAUGGAGAGUAGUGGACCUCCAACACAAACAAUGGAGAAGACGGGAGAUCAUGUGAUUGAUCUGGGCUGUAUAAAAUGGGAUUUACAUAUAGAGAAGGGAAACCAGAACUGACAUCUAAACUGGAGGGAACAAGGAUACCAGGGGUUAAAGAAUCAUGGAGGGUGGAAAGUGAUGUCUCCAAUCAACCAUCCAUCUGCAUCACCUGAGGAGAUGAUGGGACGUCUGUCUGUGACCGAUCUGAAGAACCUGAUGAAGAAGGGGCCUGAAGAGGUCAAUCACAACUCCAUCAUGUGUGAAAUGAGGGGGGGGGGGGAGCGGAUGGAGGACCCCCAGAGAUGGAGGUGUUCAUUGCAGCAGACAUUGUGGGGUCUUCUCCUUCCAUCCAUAGAAAAGAGGUUUGGUGAAGAGGGUUAAAGCUUCUCUUCAGGAAGGCCUCACCUAAAAGCCAAGGAGCAGCCUGGAGUUCAGGCUGAUGGAAAAUGUAUGGUGAAAAUAACCAAAAUGGUUCCAUGAGAAGACACUGAUCAGUCACCGCACUGCGAGAGCCAGAACCGUCUCAAUGUAGAUGAUUGUUUAUGGUUAUUAAAGUAGGAGCCUCCAGGAGCUCUGGAGUCUACAUGAUCUAGGGACACACGGUCCAUUAUACCGUAAUCUCCUUCCAUUAGGGAUGGUCAUGUCAUGAAGCAGAACCUCCAGGAGUCUACCUGAUCUGGAGGCACAUGGUCCAUUAUACCGUAAUCUCCUUCCAUUAGUCAUGGUCGUGUCAUGGAGGAGAACCUUCAGGAGUCUACCUGAUCUGGAGGCACACGGUCCAUUAUACUGUAAUCUCCUUCCCUUAGUGAUGGUCAUGUCAUG
This is a long non-coding RNA of Hyla sarda, 1395 nucleotides long. RefSeq lists it as uncharacterized. The record is from RefSeq and is a predicted model, not a curated record. The transcript is spliced from 3 exons. NCBI's taxonomy places the organism in Eukaryota, Metazoa, Chordata, Amphibia, Anura, Hylidae.